This is a long non-coding RNA of Vicia villosa (hairy vetch), 2048 nucleotides long. RefSeq lists it as uncharacterized. The transcript is spliced from 4 exons. NCBI's taxonomy places the organism in Eukaryota, Viridiplantae, Streptophyta, Magnoliopsida, Fabales, Fabaceae. The record is from RefSeq and is a predicted model, not a curated record.
AAAAGAUCUAGGGUCUCCAAUGCGACGGUCCCCACUUCACACUCUCAGAUUCUCUCAAAAACCAAUUAAACUCGCCGGAGCGAUUUCCGGCGGCCUAACUCCGCCGUGGACCGCCUCAUCUCGCUUUCUCCUCCUCAAAUCCACUCUUAACCUUAUUUUCCUUCAAUUCUUUUUCUAUCCUUUAACCCUCAACACCAGAGUAAAUCAAAGCCCUAAAAGCUAGCUCGGCUAUCAUAACGCAGAAGGAGGUGAAGAAGAGAGGACUAUCUGAAGACGCACCUGGAUUCGAAGACGCGAUUUGAAUAUUAGAAGUGAAGCUUCGUCUAGCUUGAUGCGAAGAUUUAAGCUUCAAUUCGAGACCGAUACGAAUGCGCCAAAGACGAAUGUUUCAGCGUUGUGAAGUUGAAGGAGAUUCGGAGAUGAUGGAAGUUCGAGGAAGCUUGAGGGUGGUGGAGAAUCGGUGGUGAAUCGGUAGUGGAUCGGUGGUGAUCGGAUUGAAGUGUGGAGAAAGAUUGUGAGAAGUGUGUGGGAGGUGGAUUGUGGAAAAAUGGUUGCGAGAGCUUGAAGAUGAAGAUAGGAGGAGAGUGAUGGAACUUUUUGCCUAGCACAUCUUCGUUCAAGGCUCUCAAGCGGAACUAUGAAGAAGAUGGUGGUUGUGCUUCUUUAGGUGUGUCCUUCUGAAGAUGAGUGGUGUUGCAUUUAUAUAUGGGCAAUGACUGAGAAAUAAUGGUGAAUCCUUGGGUGUGGAGCCUGAAUCAUAGCUUGCAAUGAGCUUUUUUCGAUUUCUCGAGUGUGGGACUUGGAAGGUUUUUUCUUUUGAAUUUGAGCUGCUGUACGCAUCCGCUUUCGACAGUAUCAGACAUUUGUGGAUAUAGUUUUCGGAAUGCUUUUUCUUUGACUGCACUUGCAGGUCUGAUUCUUUCCAACUUGGAGCUGCUUGGUAAGUGUUUUCACAACAAGCUAUAAGAAUUGCUUGACGCCACCUGAUGCGAGUUUGUUUUUUUGGUCUGGUAUAGAUGUAUGGAUUGAUAUGAAGCUAGGACUGGUUUAUUUAUGAUGAUGCAGGGUUGUUAAUGUGAGCUGAUGUUUGAAAUUGUUUUUUUGUAGGUUUCGCGGGGUCGCAUCAAGUCGGUUUUUGGACUGAAGCUUGACUCAAAGUUGCAAUAGGUUCACUGACACGAUAGGGAUGUUGAUUCAUGGAUGAAGGUUGCAGCAUCUUGGCAGGGAUGUAUAUGUAUGGAUAUAAUGGUUUUAUGGUGAUUGAAUGAAGGUUUAUUGUGAGCUGAACUCGUGUUUAUUUGUAUGUUUAAUGGUGGCGUGUGGAACUGACUGUUAUGCAUAUGUUAUGGGUGCAUUCUGUUUUGAACUGAUGCGAUUUGACUCUGCAAGUUUAUAGAAUUGGCAUGAUUCGGAAGCAAAGUGAGCAUGGCUUAUGGAAUUUACGGUUUGGCUUGGUGUUUGUGAUGUGAAGAUAAGGACGAGUUCUGUGUGCGUGUAUUGAUGGCUGCAACCGUUAAUGGUUAGAAAAGAAAUGGAUCAGUAUGUAUGCUGGUUAUUAACAGAUGUUGGAAGCAUGGUUUGGAAUUGUUAUGAAUUUGUGAACUAUACUCAUUGGAUAUGGUUUAGGUGCAGUUAGUAUGAUUGGUAUUGGUGGAACUUUAUAUGGUGUGCUGUAUGGGGCUGAAUGUGUGGAUGUAUGUGUGGAUUAAUGCCUUGACUAAUAUUUUGAUUUUUUGUAUGGUACAGGUUCAAAGUUAACUGAUUUUGGGCAUGAAUGAGGAGCAAGGAUAUGGAGGAGAUUGAGGCUUGGUAGAAACAGGAAGAUGUGAUCAUGAUGAAGUGUAGAAUUGGGAUAGGGUGUUUGAUUUUGGUUGGCUUAGGUUAAAAGUCUGUGUCUUUAUAACUUUUUCCUUCAAUGUAAUAUGUAAUGGACACCCUUGUUAUGACCUCUUUGUUUGUAAUUGAAUGAUCAUUGAUGGAGUUUUGAUGGAAACUUGAACUUGAACCAAUUGUAAUGAACCAAUAGGAAGGCUUCAUAUUCAGAACAA